GUGAGGGGCAUAGAGAAAACAGAAAUGAGUUGGGACCUCUCCUGCACAGAAAGAACCACAAUUUAGGAAGAAGGACCGCGUUUGAAAUUAAGGACAUCCAAAAAUUAGUAGUAAUGAUACAGAAUGAGAAAAACAAACAAACAAACAUCCAGGGAUGUGACUGCUCUUAGGUAUGAUGGAGGAGAAGGCUUAUUGAAGAUGUGAGGGAGAGCAGUGACAGAGACAGAGGCAGAGACGUCUAGGAGAGUCCAGAGUGAGCUGGGACAAGUGAGGAGGAAGUGGGAUGGGAGACAGGAGAAGUCGAACAGUCACAGCCAAAUGGCUGGAUAACAUAGGGAAGAGAAGGACAGCCCAGCCCCUGGGCUGGAGAGUUCAGGGGAAAGGGUGUGGUAUGUCCUGAAAUGUAGGGCAGGGACUGAGGGAUGCUGGGAGAACCUGGCCGGCAGGUUCACUUUGAUGUUACAUUGGCAUCACGUUUAACCAAAUGUCCCGGAUUGGAGACCAGGCAGACACUAAUAAUGAGGUCAGAGGUCACAGUCUCCUCAGUAUUAUUCUGGUUUGAUUCCAGGAAUAAUUUCUCAACCUCGUUAUUCUUCACAACCCAGGAAGAUCAUUUUUGUCAUUAUCUCUUUGCAGCAAAUGAGAAAACUGAGACAGAGAGGCUGUGUUACUUGUCCAAGGACACACAGCCAGGAGGUGGUAGAGCAACGGUGCAGACUGAGGCUUGAUUCAUCCAGAGGCCUGAAUUCCACAGCAGACUGCCGAAUGUAUGCACCACAUUCCUGUGUCAUAGUGGUGAUGAGUGGUACCAAAGCAGGGCAGCUACAGAGGAAAGGCUAUGUGGGGAGAUGCUCGGGCUUGGACCUCGAGAAGGAGAUCUGCAGAGACAUACGUGAAGUGACUUCAGCGACACUGAGGGAAGAAGUGUUUCAUCACAAUGAUAGAAACCCAAACUAAGACAGCUGGAGACACAUAGAAUGCUGGUGUUUUAGGGCAUCCUGGACAGACAUUCUCACAGGAUUGUCAAAACUCUGCACAGUGGGCUGAGGAGACGGUCCAAUUGACAAAGUGCUUGCUGCAC
RNAcentral lists this long non-coding RNA (1081 nucleotides) under Mus spicilegus (steppe mouse). RNAcentral describes it as "lncRNA (ENSMSIG00000031455.1)". Lineage: Eukaryota; Metazoa; Chordata; Mammalia; Rodentia; Muridae. The record is from RNAcentral.